UACGAAUGGAGCGAGCGUUGUUCGGAAUCACUGGGCGUAAAGCGUGCGCAGGCGGUUGUGAAAGUCAGAAGUGAAAUCCCAGGGCUUAACCUUGGAAUUGCUUUUGAAACUUCACGACUAGAGUACUGGAGGGGUUGGCGGAAUUUCGAGUGUAGCAGUGAAAUGCGUAGAUAUUCGAAGGAACACCGAUGGCGUAGGCAGCCAACUGGACAGUUACUGACGCUCAUGCACGAAAGUAUGGGGAGCAAACAGG
Molecule: non-coding RNA, 253 nt
Filed under: uncultured bacterium
Lineage: Bacteria
Also listed under: 1 other name
Description: partial 16S ribosomal RNA
Rfam family: Bacterial small subunit ribosomal RNA
Source: RNAcentral